RNAcentral lists this unclassified non-coding RNA (282 nucleotides) under Hevea brasiliensis (rubber tree). The record is from RNAcentral. Lineage: Eukaryota; Viridiplantae; Streptophyta; Magnoliopsida; Malpighiales; Euphorbiaceae.
AAUGCAAUCAAUAUGUGCUACAGAAAUUUCAAAGUGAUCCAUAUGCAAGAACUUACUGGAUUCCGGCUGAGUGGGAGAUCGGCGAUCUUGGGUCCGCGCCGGUGAUGGAAGGAAAGCCAAUGGAGAUAGAGAGCUAUGGAGAUUGUAGGGCCUUCAACCGUGAUCUGAGUUUGUUGCUGGAUCGGCAAAAACACAUGGGAGUUGGAGACCAAAGAGUUGAUGAUUGUAACUUCGAGUUUUUGAGACCUGAUUAUGAUUUUGGGUUGGAGGAGGAACGCAAGU